GACGAACGCUGGCGGCGUGCUUAACACAUGCAAGUCGAACGGAAAGGCCCUGCUUUUGUGGGGUGCUCGAGUGGCGAACGGGUGAGUAACACGUGAGUAACCUGCCCUUGACUUUGGGAUAACUUCAGGAAACUGGGGCUAAUACCGGAUAGGAGCUCCUGCUGCAUGGUGGGGGUUGGAAAGUUUCGGCGGUUGGGGAUGGACUCGCGGCUUAUCAGCUUGUUGGUGGGGUAGUGGCUUACCAAGGCUUUGACGGGUAGCCGGCCUGAGAGGGUGACCGGCCACAUGGGGACUGAGAUACGGACCAGAAUCCUAAGGGAGGCAGCAGGGGGGAAUAUUGCACAAUGGGCGGAAGCCUGAUGCAGCAACGCCGCGUGCGGGAUGACGGACUUCGGGUUGUAAACCGCUUUCGCCUGUGACGAAGCGUGAGUGACGGUAAUGGGUAAAGAAGCACCGGCUAACUACGUG
Molecule: ribosomal RNA, 468 nt
Filed under: uncultured bacterium
Lineage: Bacteria
Description: partial 16S ribosomal RNA
Rfam family: Bacterial small subunit ribosomal RNA
Source: RNAcentral